RNAcentral lists this ribosomal RNA (218 nucleotides) under uncultured bacterium. Its description in RNAcentral is "partial 16S ribosomal RNA". It matches the Rfam family "Bacterial small subunit ribosomal RNA", at positions 524 to 742 of the family's 1533-position model. The record is from RNAcentral.
UACGUAGGGGGCAAGCGUUGUCCGGAUUUAUUGGGCGUAAAGAGCGUGUAGGCGGCCAUUCAGGUCAGCUGUGAAACUCGAGGCUCAACCUCGAGACGUCGGUUGAAACCGUUUGGCUAGAGUCCGGAAGAGGAGAGUGGAAUUCCCGGUGUAGCGGUGAAAUGCGCAGAUAUCAGGAGGAACACCGAUGGCGAAGGCAGGUCUCUGGGCCACUACUG